GCAUUUCUUUUCGCUUCUUCUCCUUUUCUUCUUCCUCUCCUCUCCCAUGGAGAUCGUUUCUAGGGUUAUGAAGCGAAAGAUGUCGCUGUCCUCCUCUUCAUCCAAGAUCUGCUUCAAUCCCGACUGCAAAGAGGCGAAAUCAGAGCCUUCUACAAAGGGAUGGUGUCUUUAUGCUGGCAAUUUCACUGAGCUAUAUGAUCAAUGCGGGUAGCCUCUCUAUUUCUCGUGAUUCUUUGAUUUUCUUUCGUAAGGGCAUUUUAUUACUCCUCCUUAAAAGGAAAUCGAAGAGAGAGAUAUUCGAAAAGAGGGUUUUCCGGCCGGUCUUAAUCACAAUGAAGAUUUUGGUCCUGAUUGAGAUGAUGGGAGGCGUCGAGGGUUUCAGCUCCUGAUUCGAUUGCGGGAGUGGAUGGAGAUUAUGGCCCUGAUUGAGAUGAUGAAAGGCGUCGAGGGUUUCAGCUCCCGAUUCGAUUGCGGGAGUGGAUGGAGAUUAUGGCCCUGAUUGAGAUGAUGAGAGGCGUCAAGGUGUUUUUCUUGCGAGAGUGGAUGAAGAUUAUGACCCUGAUUGAGAUGAUGAGAGGCGUCAAGGUGUUUUGCUUGCGAGAGUGGAUGGAGAUUAUGACCCUGAUUGAGAUGAUGAGAGGCGUUGAGGGUUUCGGCUCCCAAUUUGAUCGCAAGAGUGGAUGGAGAUUACGGCCCUGAUUGAGAUGAUGAUAGGCAUUGAGGGUUUUGUCUCCUGAUUCAAUUGUGAGAGUGGAUGAAGAUUAUGGCCCUGAUUUGAUCGUGAGGGUUGCACCCCUUUGAUUUUUGCAUCGGUUAUGACCCUGAACUGAGAGGUGGCAGCCGCAGCAGAACCCCUCGUCACAUUUGAUCGCAAUGGGUGGUAUAGAUGAUGAAGGGUUUUGGUUCUUUGACAGCAACAACACCCGGGGUUGGCGUCGGUUUUCGAUUCCGGCUACGGAGUGAGGCAGCGAUGCAGGGUGUGGGUGUGUGAUGGAGAUCGUCCUCCACUCUGGUACCAGUGAAGUUUGGAGGGCGUUAGACAGCCGUUUAGCAACGAAUCUCUAGCAGGAGGAUUUUUCAACCAGAUGGGGAAGUCACAUUUCUGGGGUGUGUUCAUUGUUGUUUAAAUAUCUAUACUGAGACUGGACGGUUGUCGGCUAGAAGACCGUAUUUGCAGGUUUUGGUUCUAUCCUUCAUAAAUUCAAGAUAUCAGAGGAGCAGAGAAAAUAUUUUAUUGAUAACCCAGAGCCCCUGGUAGCAUUUGCUCUCCGUUGCAGGAUGUAAUCUUCACCUGCAGUAAGGGCCCUUUUUGUAUAAGAUUUGAGUUCAGGCCGGUAAUUGGAGCUCGUCGAAACCAGGCUGACUUAGCUGAGUCAGCGAGGCAAUUAGUGAAUUUUAAAAUUGCCACAUUAGAUCUGAUUAUGGAAACAAAUUUUAGCAUAUAGCUGGAGCUUCGGAUCUUUGUGCAUCUUGCAAACUGUCAGACCAUGUUGAAUGCAUUCAAGGCUGGUGGGAAUUUCCAUUCAAGGAUGGCAAUGAAUAUGUACCCACAUAUUCGUCAGGUUGUAGAGGGAAAAAGGGUGCUGAUUGAAUGGUACCCUCAACCCAGGGAAGACAAACCUCCAGUUCCUCUAUUAAAAAAAGGAUGCCUUUGCUUUUGAGAGAUGAAAAGCGAAAAUGCUCAACUUCACUAUUGCAUAUGGGAAAACUCUUGUUGGCUGGCCCAUGAUUGGAAGGUAUGAAUACUCUUAUCAAUUAUUGUAAUGGGGGUAGAUGAACAUGUGGCUGCCAAUGAAUGCGGUUUGAUGCAGCAUUGCCACUUUCAGUGACUCUACCAAAGAGCAUGAAGGCAAAUGGGGUAUGAAAUAAUUAACAAAGGUAAGGAAACCACUUCACUUUUGACCUUUGAUUGCUAUUUAUUUUCCUAGUUAAAAUUGUACCUUGCAUUAGGAAGGAACAUGCCAGAUUGGCCUCUGGGUUUGAGUCCCAACCUGAAUGGGUUGGACUUGGGCCUAAUAUAGACCCAUUGAUGGGCCUAGCUUUAAUUUAAAAUGGGUUGGCCUUGGGCCUAAGUCAGGUUGGCCUGCGUGUUAACAGACCCAACCUAUUUUUGAGGUGGGUUCAAGCCAAACUUAUUGGGUAGUGGGUUGGGCUUCGAGCUAGAAAUUUGUCCAUUUAAAUAAUGGGUUAGGCUGGGGUUGAACCUACCUACUGGGUUGAGCCAGAUAACCCUACAUAGGUUACUAAUUGGUUGAGCUAGAUAACCUGGCUUGCCUCGACCCAAAACCCAAAACAAAAUAAAGAACAAUAGUAUGGAUAAAUUUAUUGUCUGCACCCAAACUCAACAUGAUUUCUUCGGUCCAAUUGAUUGAACCUGAGCUCAUUAAAAUUGGGUCGGUUUCAUAGGG
Magnolia sinica is the source of this 2408-nucleotide long non-coding RNA. RefSeq lists it as uncharacterized. The transcript is spliced from 6 exons. NCBI's taxonomy places the organism in Eukaryota, Viridiplantae, Streptophyta, Magnoliopsida, Magnoliales, Magnoliaceae. The record is from RefSeq and is a predicted model, not a curated record.